This 73-nucleotide transfer RNA is filed under the name Pseudescherichia vulneris NBRC 102420. RNAcentral describes it as "Escherichia vulneris NBRC 102420 tRNA". It matches the Rfam family "tRNA". Rfam says of the family: Transfer RNA (tRNA) molecules are approximately 80 nucleotides in length. Their secondary structure includes four short double-helical elements and three loops (D, anti-codon, and T loops). Lineage: Bacteria; Pseudomonadati; Pseudomonadota; Gammaproteobacteria; Enterobacterales; Enterobacteriaceae. RNAcentral also lists the same sequence under 1 other name. The record is from Rfam by way of RNAcentral.
GGGUCGUUAGCUCAGUUGGUAGAGCAGUUGACUUUUAAUCAAUUGGUCGCAGGUUCGAGCCCUGCACGACCCA